RNAcentral lists this ribosomal RNA (468 nucleotides) under uncultured bacterium. RNAcentral's name for it is "partial 16S ribosomal RNA". It matches the Rfam family "Bacterial small subunit ribosomal RNA", at positions 28 to 507 of the family's 1533-position model. The record is from RNAcentral.
GACGAACGCUGGCGGCGUGCUUAACACAUGCAAGUCGAACGGAAAGGCCCUGCUUUUGUGGGGUGCUCGAGUGGCGAACGGGUGAGUAACACGUGAGUAACCUGCCCUUGACUUUGGGAUAACUUCAGGAAACUGGGGCUAAUACCGGAUAGGAGCUCCCGCUGCAUGGUGGGGGUUGGAAAGUUUCGGCGGUUGGGGAUGGACUCGCGGCUUAUCAGCUUGUUGGUGGGGUAGUGGCUUACCAAGGCUUUGACGGGUAGCCGGCCUGAGAGGGUGACCGGCCACAUUGGGACUGAGAUACGGCCCAGACUCCUACGGGAGGCAGCAGUGGGGAAUAUUGCACAAUGGGCGGAAGCCUGAUGCAGCAACGCCGCGUGCGGGAUGGCGGCCUUCGGGUUGUAAACCGCUUUCGCCUGUGACGAAGCGUGAGUGACGGUAAUGGGUAAAGAAGCACCGGCUAACUACGUG